RNAcentral lists this small RNA (125 nucleotides) under Marmota monax (woodchuck). Lineage: Eukaryota; Metazoa; Chordata; Mammalia; Rodentia; Sciuridae. The record is from RNAcentral.
GUUGGGUGUGGUGGCACACACUUGUAAUCCAAGUGGCUUGGGAGGCUGAGGCAGGAGGAUCCCGAGUUCAAAGCCAGCCUCAGAAACGGCUAAGUGUUAAGCAACUCAGUGAGACCCUGUCUCUA